UAACAGUUGGAAACGACUGCUAAUACCGCAUAAGCGCACAGGAUCGCAUGAUCCGGUGUGAAAAACUCCGGUGGUAUGAGAUGGACCCGCGUCUGAUUAGCCAGUUGGCAGGGUAACGGCCUACCAAAGCGACGAUCAGUAGCCGACCUGAGAGGGUGACCGGCCACAUUGGGACUGAGACACGGCCCAAACUCCUACGGGAGGCAGCAGUGGGGAAUAUUGCACAAUGGGGGAAACCCUGAUGCAGCGACGCCGCGUGAGCGAAGAAGUAUUUCGGUAUGUAAAGCUCUAUCAGCAGGGAAGAAGAAUGACGGUACCUGACUAAGAAGCACCGGCUAAAUACGUGCCAGCAGCCGCGGUAAUACGUAUGGUGCAAGCGUUAUCCGGAUUUACUGGGUGUAAAGGGAGCGCAGGCGGUGCGGCAAGUCUGAUGUGAAAGCCCGGGGCUCAACCCCGGUACUGCAUUGGAAACUGUCGUACUAGAGUGUCGGAGGGGUAAGUGGAAUUCCUAGUGUAGCGGUGAAAUGCGUAGAUAUUAGGAGGAACACCAGUGGCGAAGGCGGCUUACUGGACGAUAACUGACGCUGAGGCUCGAAAGCGUGGGGAGCAAACAGGAUUAGAUACCCUGGUAGUCCACGCCGU
RNAcentral lists this ribosomal RNA (642 nucleotides) under uncultured bacterium. Its description in RNAcentral is "bacterial SSU rRNA". It matches the Rfam family "Bacterial small subunit ribosomal RNA", at positions 144 to 803 of the family's 1533-position model. The record is from RNAcentral.